CUCUGCUCAGCUCCCUCGCGCGCCGCCCGCAGAGUGAGGCUAGGAGCCGGAAUAUGACGUCAUAUUCCUGCUCCCAGCCUCACUCUGCGGGUGGCGCGCAAGGGAGCUGAGCAGAG
Molecule: microRNA precursor, 116 nt
Filed under: Pelobates cultripes (western spadefoot toad)
Lineage: Eukaryota; Metazoa; Chordata; Amphibia; Anura; Pelobatidae
Source: RNAcentral